RNAcentral lists this ribosomal RNA (433 nucleotides) under uncultured bacterium. RNAcentral's name for it is "partial 16S ribosomal RNA". It matches the Rfam family "Bacterial small subunit ribosomal RNA", at positions 29 to 507 of the family's 1533-position model. The record is from RNAcentral.
AACGAACGCUGGCGGCAUGCCUAACACAUGCAAGUCGAACGAAGGCUUCGGCCUUAGUGGCGCACGGGUGCGUAACGCGUGGGAAUCUGCCCUUUGGUUCGGAAUAACAGCUGGAAACGGCUGCUAAUACCGGAUGAUGACGAAAGUCCAAAGAUUUAUCGCCAGAGGAUGAGCCCGCGUUGGAUUAGGUAGUUGGUGGGGUAAAGGCCUACCAAGCCGACGAUCCAUAGCUGGUCUGAGAGGAUGAUCAGCCACACUGGGACUGAGACACGGCCCAGACUCCUACGGGAGGCAGCAGAGGGGAAUAUUGAACAAUGGGCGCAAGCCUGAUCCAGCAAUGCCGCGUGAGUGAUGAAGGCCCUAGGGUUGUAAAGCUCUUUUACCCGGGAAGAUAAUGAGUGUACCGGGAGAAUAAGCCCCGGCUAACUCCGUG